CAGAGGUUACUGCUAUCSAGAUUCGACUAAGCCAUGCGAGUUGAAUGUUCUUCGUGAACAUGGCGGACUGCUCAGUAACACGUGGACAACCUACCCUUGGGUCCGGCAUAAUCCUGGGAAACUGGGAAUAAUUCCGGAUAGGUCACCGAUGCUGGAAUGCGCGGUGGCCGAAAGCUCCGGCGCCCGAGGAUGGGUCUGCGGCCUAUCAGGGUUGUAGUGGGUGUAACGUACCUACUAGCCUACGACGGGUACGGGUUGUGAGAGCAAGAGCCCGGAGAUGGAUUCUGAGACACGAAUCCAGGCCCUACGGGGUGCAGCAGGCGCGAAAACUUUACAAUGCGGGAAACCGUGAUAAGGGGAUCUCGAGUGCCAGCAUAUAAUGUUGGCUGUCCAGAUGCCUAAAAAGCAUCUGUUAGCAAGGGCCGGGCAAGACCGGUGCCAGCCGCCGCGGUAACACCGGCGGCCCGAGUGGUAACCGCUAUUAUUGGGUCUAAAGGGUCUGUAGCCGGCCAGGUAAGUCCCUUGGGAAAUCUGGCAGCUCAACUGUCAGGCUGCUAGGGGAUACUGUUUGGCUUGGGACCGGGAGAGGUGAGAGGUACCUUGGGGGUAGGGGUGAAAUCUUGUGAUCCUCGAGGGACCACCAGUGGCGAAGGCGUCUCACCAGAACGGGUCCGACGGUAAGGGACGAAAGCUAGGGGCACGAACCGGAUUAGAUACCCGGGUAGUCCUAGCCGUAAACGAUGCUCGCUAGGUGUCAGUCACGGUGCGACCGUGAUUGGUGCCGUAGGGAAGCCGUGAAGCGAGCCACCUGGGAAGUAUGGCCGCAAGGCUGAAACUUAAAGGAAUUGGCGGGGGAGCACYACAUMCGGGUGGAGCCUGCGGUUUAAUUG
RNAcentral lists this ribosomal RNA (890 nucleotides) under uncultured Methanosaeta sp. RNAcentral describes it as "bacterial SSU rRNA". It matches the Rfam family "Archaeal small subunit ribosomal RNA", at positions 18 to 908 of the family's 1478-position model. The record is from RNAcentral. Lineage: Archaea; Methanobacteriati; Methanobacteriota; Methanomicrobia; Methanotrichales; Methanotrichaceae.